CGCACCAGAAGAGGCGCAAUUGCCAGGUAAGUAACAUGAGGAGCCCAUCCUUUGAUUGUUACUAAGGGGGACAAUUGCCGAGAAUGUUGAUAGUGGGACUUAUCACAUUCGGUCGCUAAGGCUGAAUCCUUAGGGCUGUCACCGCUAAAAAUACGUUUUUAGCAUAGGGUGGAGAGCUUCUGGCUGA
This is a non-coding RNA of Colwellia sp. PAMC 21821, 187 nucleotides long. Lineage: Bacteria; Pseudomonadati; Pseudomonadota; Gammaproteobacteria; Alteromonadales; Colwelliaceae. The record is from Rfam.